RNAcentral lists this ribosomal RNA (253 nucleotides) under uncultured bacterium. RNAcentral's name for it is "partial 16S ribosomal RNA". It matches the Rfam family "Bacterial small subunit ribosomal RNA", at positions 524 to 776 of the family's 1533-position model. The record is from RNAcentral.
UACGUAGGUGGCAAGCGUUGUCCGGAUUCAUUGGGCGUAAAGAGCUCGUAGGCGGCCACUCAAGUCGAAUGUGAAACCUCGAGGCUUAACCUCGAGCCUGCAUUCGAUACUGGGCGGCUAGAGUCUGGUAGGGGGAUCUGGAAUUCCUGGUGUAGCGGUGGAAUGCGCAGAUAUCAGGAGGAACACCAAUUGCGAAGGCAGCUCGCUGGGACGUUACUGACGCUGAGACGCGAAAGCGUGGGGAGCAAACAGG